This 253-nucleotide ribosomal RNA is filed under the name uncultured bacterium. RNAcentral describes it as "partial 16S ribosomal RNA". It matches the Rfam family "Archaeal small subunit ribosomal RNA", at positions 474 to 726 of the family's 1478-position model. The record is from RNAcentral.
UACCAGCACCCCGAGUGGUCGGGACGAUUAUUGGGCCUAAAGCAUCCGUAGCCGGUCAUGCAAGUCUUCCGUUAAAUCCAGCCGCUCAACGGUUGGGCUGCGGAGGAUACUACGUGGCUAGGAGGCGGGAGAGGCAAGCGGUACUCAGUGGGUAGGGGGUAAAAUCCUUUGAUCCAUCGAAGACCACCAGUGGCGAAGGCGGCUUGCCAGAACGCGCUCGACGGUGAGGGAUGAAAGCUGGGGGAGCAACCGG